CCGCGGUAAUUCCAGCUCCAAUAGCGUAUAUUAAAGUUGUUGCAGUUAAAAAGCUCGUAGUUGAAUUUCGGGAUUAAUAUGCUGGUCGUGCCAUUGGUACGUACUAGUAUUAUUGAUUUCUCCCUUCUGAUAAAUCAUGAUGUCAUUAAUUUGAUGUCAUGAGGAAUCAGGACUGUUACUUUGAAAAAAUUAGAGUGUUUAAAGCAGGCUCGCGCUUGAAUACAUUAGCAUGGAAUAAUGAAAUAGGACGUUUGAUUCUAUUUUGUUAGGUUUCUAGGAUUGACGUAAUGAUUAAUAGGGAUAGUUGGGGGCAUUAGUAUUCAAUUGUCAGAGGUGAAAUUCUUGGAUUUAUUGAAGACUAACUACUGCGAAAGCAUUUGCCAAGGAUGUUUUCAUUAAUCAAGAACGAAAGUUAGGGGGAUCGAAGACGAUCAGAUACCGUCGUAGUCUUAACCAUAAACUAUGCCGACUAGGGAUCGGAUGAUGUUAAUUAUGACUCAUUCGGCGCCUUACG
This 514-nucleotide ribosomal RNA is filed under the name uncultured Glomus. RNAcentral describes it as "SSU rRNA". It matches the Rfam family "Eukaryotic small subunit ribosomal RNA", at positions 574 to 1092 of the family's 1831-position model. Lineage: Eukaryota; Fungi; Glomeromycota; Glomeromycetes; Glomerales; Glomeraceae. The record is from RNAcentral.